Molecule: unclassified non-coding RNA, 337 nt
Filed under: soil metagenome
Description: partial contains 5.8S ribosomal RNA, internal transcribed spacer 2, and large subunit ribosomal RNA
Rfam family: 5.8S ribosomal RNA (bases 1-120)
Source: RNAcentral
GAUGAAGAACGUAGCGAAAUGCGAUAAGUAAUGUGAAUUGCAGAAUUCAGUGAAUCAUCGAAUCUUUGAACGCACAUUGCGCCCGCCAGUAUUCUGGCGGGCAUGCCUGUUCGAGCGUCAUUUCAACCAUCAAGCCUUAGGCUUGUGUUGGAGCUCUGCGACUGUCCGCAGGCCCCUAAAUGCAGUGGCGGGCUCGCUAUCACACCGAGUGCAGUAGUUUUCUUUCUCGCUCAGGGCGUGUAGUGGGUGCUAGCCGUAAAACCCCCUUUUCUCACAAGGUUGACCUCGGAUCAGGUAGGAAUAGCCGCUGAACUUAAGCAUAUCAAUAAGCGGAGGA